This is a transfer RNA of Cavia porcellus (domestic guinea pig), 64 nucleotides long. It matches the Rfam family "tRNA". Rfam says of the family: Transfer RNA (tRNA) molecules are approximately 80 nucleotides in length. Their secondary structure includes four short double-helical elements and three loops (D, anti-codon, and T loops). The record is from Rfam. NCBI's taxonomy places the organism in Eukaryota, Metazoa, Chordata, Mammalia, Rodentia, Caviidae.
GGGGAUUUAGCUCAGCGGCAUAAGCGCCUGCCUUGCAAGCAGGUAGUAGUGAGUUCAAUCCCCG